GCCCAGGUGGUGAAAUCGGUAUACACGCAUGUUCGAGGGGCAUGUGCCUGAAUAAGGCGUGCGGGUUCAAGUCCCGCCCUGGGCA
RNAcentral lists this transfer RNA (85 nucleotides) under Chloroflexota bacterium. Its description in RNAcentral is "Chloroflexi bacterium tRNA-Leu". It matches the Rfam family "tRNA". From Rfam's summary of the family: Transfer RNA (tRNA) molecules are approximately 80 nucleotides in length. Their secondary structure includes four short double-helical elements and three loops (D, anti-codon, and T loops). The record is from RNAcentral. RNAcentral also lists the same sequence under 1 other name. Lineage: Bacteria; Bacillati; Chloroflexota.